AUUGAACGCUGGCGGAAUGCUUUACACAUGCAAGUCGAACGGCAGCACGGACUUCGGUCUGGUGGCGAGUGGCGAACGGGUGAGUAAUGUAUCGGAACGUGCCCAGUCGUGGGGGAUAACGUAGUGAAAAUUACGCUAAUACCGCAUACGAUCUAUGGAUGAAAGCGGGGGAUCGCAAGACCUCGCGCGAUUGGAGCGGCCGAUAUCAGAUUAGGUAGUUGGUGGGGUAAAGGCCUACCAAGCCAACGAUCUGUAGCUGGCCUGAGAGGACGACGCGCCAAACUGGAACUGAGACACGGUCCAGACUCCUCCGGGAGGCAGCAGUGGGGAAUUUUGGACAAUGGGCGAAAGCCUGAUCCAGCCAUUCCGCGUGCAGGAUGAAGGCCCUCGGGUUGUAAACUGCUUUUGUACAGAACGAAAAGGUUUCUACUAAUACUAGGAGCUCAUGACGGUACUGUAAGAAUAAGCACCGGCUAACUACGUGCCAGCCGCCGCCGUAA
Molecule: ribosomal RNA, 500 nt
Filed under: uncultured bacterium
Lineage: Bacteria
Description: partial 16S ribosomal RNA
Rfam family: Bacterial small subunit ribosomal RNA
Source: RNAcentral